GAUGAACGCUGGCGGCGUGCCUAAUACAUGCAAGUCGAGCGAACAGACGAGGAGCUUGCUCCUCUGACGUUAGCGGCGGACGGGUGAGUAACACGUGGAUAACCUACCUAUAAGACUGGGAUAACUUCGGGAAACCGGAGCUAAUACCGGAUAAUAUAUUGAACCGCAUGGUUCAAUAGUGAAAGACGGUUUUGCUGUCACUUAUAGAUGGAUCCGCGCCGCAUUAGCUAGUUUGUAAGGUAACGGCCUACCAAGGCAACGAUGCGUACCCGACCUGAGAGGGUGAUCGGCCACACUGGAACUGAGACACGGUCCAGACUCCUACGGGAGGCAGCAGUAGGGAAUCUUCCGCAAUGGGCGAAAGCCUGACGGAGCAACGCCGCGUGAGUGAUGAAGGUCUUCGGAUCGUAAAACUCUGUUAUUAGGGAAGAACAAAUGUGUAAGUAACUAUGCACGUCUUGACGGUACCUAAUCAGAAAGCCACGGCUAACUACGUG
RNAcentral lists this ribosomal RNA (497 nucleotides) under uncultured bacterium. RNAcentral's name for it is "partial 16S ribosomal RNA". It matches the Rfam family "Bacterial small subunit ribosomal RNA", at positions 28 to 507 of the family's 1533-position model. The record is from RNAcentral.